GAUGAACGCUGGCGGCGUGCCUAAUACAUGCAAGUCGAACGCGAGAGGAGGGAGCUUGCUCCCUCUGAUCGAGUGGCGGACGGGUGAGUAACACGUAGGCAACCUGCCCAUCAGCCGGGGAUAACUGCGGGAAACCGUGGCUAAUACCGGAUAAUCCUCCCCACCGCGGGGCGGGGAGUUGAAAGACGGUUUCGGCUGUCGCUGAUGGAUGGGCCUGCGGCGCAUUAGCUGGUUGGCGGGGUAACGGCCCACCAAGGCAACGAUGCGUAGCCGACCUGGGAGGGUGAUCGGCCACACUGGGACUGAGACACGGCCCAGACUCCUACGGGAGGCAGCAGUAGGGAAUCUUCCGCAAUGGACGCAAGUCUGACGGAGCAACGCCGCGUGAGUGAAGAAGGGUUUCGGCUCGUAAAACUCUGUUGUUAAGGAAGAACGCCAGGUAGAGUAACUGCUACCUGUGUGACGGUACUUAACCAGAAAGCCACGGCUAACUACGUGCCAGCCGCCGCGGUAA
RNAcentral lists this ribosomal RNA (514 nucleotides) under uncultured bacterium. RNAcentral describes it as "partial 16S ribosomal RNA". It matches the Rfam family "Bacterial small subunit ribosomal RNA", at positions 28 to 523 of the family's 1533-position model. The record is from RNAcentral.